RNAcentral lists this ribosomal RNA (362 nucleotides) under uncultured bacterium. RNAcentral's name for it is "bacterial SSU rRNA". It matches the Rfam family "Bacterial small subunit ribosomal RNA", at positions 29 to 416 of the family's 1533-position model. The record is from RNAcentral.
AACGAACGCUGGCGGCAGGCCUAACACAUGCAAGUCGAGCGGGCGUAGCAAUACGUCAGCGGCGGACGGGUGAGUAACACGUGGGAAUAUGCCUUUCGGUUUGGAACAACUCGGGGAAACCCGUGCUAAUUCCGGAUACGCCCUUAGGGGGAAAGAUUUAUCGCCGAAAGAUUAGCCCGCGUCCGAUUAGCUAGUUGGUGAGGUAACGGCCCACCAAGGCGACGAUCGGUAGCUGGUUUGAGAGAACGACCAGCCACACUGGGACUGAGACACGGCCCAGACUCCUACGGGAGGCAGCAGUGGGGAAUCUUGCGCAAUGGGCGAAAGCCUGACGCAGCGACGCCGCGUGAGGGAUGACGGCC